Molecule: ribosomal RNA, 363 nt
Filed under: Triticum aestivum (bread wheat)
Lineage: Eukaryota; Viridiplantae; Streptophyta; Magnoliopsida; Poales; Poaceae
Description: partial small subunit ribosomal RNA
Source: RNAcentral
AUGCAAGAGAACCCGGGCAGCAUGAUUUUGGCAGGAGAAAGGAGGAUUAUCAUUUCUAGAGGUGAGUUGAGUUGCGGCUUGGUUGGAGAUGUUGGUGCGGUUCAAGAGGCCCGCUGGGUUCACCCUUUUCAAGGUUCUAAACCAAGGCAAGCUCAACAAGGUCGAGGUGAUUGCUCGCCGCCACCUCAGCUCCUGGUGUGGUUUGGAUUACUUGCGUUUAAUCUGAUCUCUACCUGUUUCAUGGACCGACAGAACUUUGUGUUCAUCUUUGUUUGUAGGAUCUAUGGAAGGAGUUCACGACUCGGACUCGACGAGAAAGUUUUGUGCUUCAUUUUUUUAUGGCAAAAUAACUUCUCUUUUUGA